This 940-nucleotide ribosomal RNA is filed under the name Alteromonas sp. RNAcentral describes it as "bacterial SSU rRNA". It matches the Rfam family "Bacterial small subunit ribosomal RNA", at positions 61 to 998 of the family's 1533-position model. Lineage: Bacteria; Pseudomonadati; Pseudomonadota; Gammaproteobacteria; Alteromonadales; Alteromonadaceae. The record is from RNAcentral.
GUCGAACGGAAACAUGUCUAGCUUGCUAGAUGAUGUCGAGUGGCGGACGGGUGAGUAAUGCUUGGGAACUUGCCUUUGCGAGGGGGAUAACAGUUGGAAACGACUGCUAAUACCGCAUAAUGUCUUCGGACCAAACGGGGCUUCGGCUCCGGCGCAAAGAGAGGCCCAAGUGAGAUUAGCUAGUUGGUGAGGUAAAGGCUCACCAAGGCAACGAUCUCUAGCUGUUCUGAGAGGAAGAUCAGCCACACUGGGACUGAGACACGGCCCAGACUCCUACGGGAGGCAGCAGUGGGGAAUAUUGCACAAUGGGGGAAACCCUGAUGCAGCCAUGCCGCGUGUGUGAAGAAGGCCUUCGGGUUGUAAAGCACUUUCAGUUGUGAGGAAAAGUUAGUAGUUAAUACCUGCUAGCCGUGACGUUAACAACAGAAGAAGCACCGGCUAACUCCGUGCCAGCAGCCGCGGUAAUACGGAGGGUGCGAGCGUUAAUCGGAAUUACUGGGCGUAAAGCGCACGCAGGCGGUUUGUUAAGCUAGAUGUGAAAGCCCCGGGCUCAACCUGGGACGGUCAUUUAGAACUGGCAGACUAGAGUCUUGGAGAGGGGAGUGGAAUUCCAGGUGUAGCGGUGAAAUGCGUAGAUAUCUGGAGGAACAUCAGUGGCGAAGGCGACUCCCUGGCCAAAGACUGACGCUCAUGUGCGAAAGUGUGGGUAGCGAACAGGAUUAGAUACCCUGGUAGUCCACACCGUAAACGCUGUCUACUAGCUGUUUGUGACUUUAAGUCGUGAGUAGCGAAGCUAACGCGAUAAGUAGACCGCCUGGGGAGUACGGCCGCAAGGUUAAAACUCAAAUGAAUUGACGGGGGCCCGCACAAGCGGUGGAGCAUGUGGUUUAAUUCGAUGCAACGCGAAGAACCUUACCUACACUUGACAUGUUGAGAAGUU